RNAcentral lists this ribosomal RNA (2221 nucleotides) under human gut metagenome. RNAcentral describes it as "bacterial LSU rRNA". It matches the Rfam family "Bacterial large subunit ribosomal RNA", at positions 580 to 2820 of the family's 2925-position model. The record is from RNAcentral.
CCCGUUAAAGGGUGAUGGCGUGCCUUUUGUAGAAUGAACCGGCGAGUUACUGUAUGGAGCGAGGUUAAGCAGGAUAUGCGGAGCCGAAGCGAAAGCGAGUCUUAAGAGGGCGAAAGUUGCAUGCAGUAGACCCGAAACCGGGUGAUCUAGCCAUGACCAGGUUGAAGUUGGGGUAAAACCCGAUGGAGGACCGAACCGACCCCCGUUGAAACGUUGGCGGAUGAGUUGUGGCUAGGGGUGAAAUUCCAAUCGAACCCGGAGAUAGCUGGUUCUCCCCGAAAUAGCUUUAGGGCUAGCGUCGAGGUAAAGAGUUGCGUGAAGGUAGAGCACUGAAUAUGUGAUGGCCCCAUCUCGGGGUACUGAGCAUAAUCAAACUGCGAAUGUCACGGAAACAUACUCGGCAGUCAGACAGCGGGUGAUAAGGUCCGUUGUCAAGAGGGAAACAGCCCAGACCAUCAGCUAAGGUCCCAAAAUGUAUGCUAAGUGGAAAAGGAUGUGGAGAUGUACAGACAACUAGGAGGUUGGCUCAGAAGCAGCCAUCCUUUAAAGAGUGCGUAACAGCUCACUAGUCGAAUGACUCUGCGCCGAUAAUUUACCGGGGCUAAGCAUACUACCGAAGCUAUGGAUCCUGAGGGAUGGUAGGGGAGCGUUCCAUGAACGGAGAAGCGCGAUCGAGAGGACGCGUGGAGAUCAUGGAAGAGAGAAUGCCGGUGUGAGUAGCGGAACGUGGGUGAGAAUCCCACGCACCGAAAACCCAAGGUUUCCAGAGGAAGGUUCGUCCGCUCUGGGUAAGUCGGGACCUAAGGCGAGGCCGAGAGGCGUAGUCGAUGGACAACAGGUAGAGAUUCCUGUACUCAUAUAUAUGUGAAGGAAUGACGGAGAGAGGAAGCUGCAGCCAGCGGCUGGAAGAGCUGGUGCAAGCGAGAUAUCGGGAUGGCAGGCAAAUCCACCAUCCGAAACGAGAAGGCGUGAAGCGUACGGAAAGCUAAGGCGAGUACGGAAGGCAGUGGAGGAGCUUCCAAGAAAAGUUUCUAACGAAAGUAUAUGUGACCCGUACCGAAAAUGGACACACAUGGGUGAGGAGAGAAUCCUAAGGUGAGCGAGAGAACUAUAGCUAAGGAACUCUGCAAAAUGACUCCGUAACUUAGGGAGAAGGAGUGCUCAUAGAGAUAUGAGCCGCAGUGAAACGGCCCAAGCGACUGUUUACCAAAAACACAGCUCUCUGCUAAGCCGCAAGGCGAAGUAUAGGGGGUGACGCCUGCCCGGUGCUGGAAGGUUAAGGGGAGGGGUUAACGCAAGUGAAGCCCUGAACUGAAGCCCCAGUAAACGGCGGCCGUAACUAUAACGGUCCUAAGGUAGCGAAAUUCCUUGUCAGGUAAGUUCUGACCCGCACGAAAGGCGUAACGAUUUGGGCGCUGUCUCAGCUGUAGACUCGGUGAAGUCUUAGUACCUGUGAAGAUGCAGGUUACCCGCGACUAGACGGAAAGACCCCAUGGAGCUUCACUGCAGGUUGAUAUUGGGAUUUGAUGCAGCAUGUACAGGAUAGGUAGGAGGCAAAGAGAUGGAUACGCCAGUAUUCAAGGAGCCGCUGUUGGGAUACUACCCCUGUUGUAUUGGAUUUCUAACCGGACGACGUAAAGCCGUUGACGGGACAGUGUCAGUCGGGCAGUUUGACUGGGGCGGUCGCCUCCCAAAGAGUAACGGAGGCGCCCAAAGAUACCCUCAGCUUGGAUGGAAACCAAGCGCAGAGUGCAAAGGCAAAAGGGUGUUUGACUGCGAGACCCACAAGUCGAGCAGGGACGAAAGUCGGGCUUAGUGAUCCGGCGGUGCUGAAUGGAAAGGCCGUCGCUCAACGGAUAAAAGCUACCCUGGGGAUAACAGGCUGAUCUCCCCCAAGAGUUCACAUCGACGGGGAGGUUUGGCACCUCGAUGUCGGCUCAUCGCAUCCUGGAGCUGAAGUCGGUUCCAAGGGUUGGGCUGUUCGCCCAUUAAAGCGGUACGCGAGCUGGGUUCAGAACGUCGUGAGACAGUUCGGUCCCUAUCUGUCGUGGGCGCAGGAAAUUUGAGAAGAGCUGUCCUCAGUACGAGAGGACCGGGAUGGACGCAUCAAUGGUGGACCAGUUGUCACGCCAGUGGCAUAGCUGGGUAGCUAAAUGCGGAAGGGAUAAACGCUGAAGGCAUCUAAGUGUGAAACCCACUUCAAGAUGAGAUUUCCCAUUGC